CCAACAAUAUGUGGGCAUACAUGGCAAUGGGCAUAAAUUGAUCUCUUUUUCAAUUUGCAAGGCAAGCAUCUUUCUUGCUCAUCUGCCACCCUCUGUUUCUUAGAGACCCACGGGAUGUGAAAAGCUUAAUUACAAAAACAAAGGGAGAAUCUGCAUCUUUUUCAUCACUACAAACACAGCAGAAUAAAAGGGAAGAGCAGGCAAGGAUCUUAAUUCUUGUGGGAUUACAAAAGGGUAUGAAAUGGGGUUCAAGAAACUGGGAUUGUUCUUUUUGGUGAUUAUCUUGUUUCAAGUUCAUCUUCAUGCACAUCCCUUGCAAAAUAAUACCUCCACUGCUACUACUGCCUUCCAUCAGGAACCAAAUGCUACAGACCAAAAAAUUAGCAGAGCCAAAAAGAUGAUAGGAAAGUUUGAAGUUGCAGAAGGGCAAGAGCGGCUGGUCUCAGUAGACAGGAGGGGUGGAGGAGGUGGAGGAGGUCAUGGAAGCCAUUCAAUGGGAAGCAGAGCGCAUGGCGGAGAAGUUAAUGGUAAUGGUGAUACAGGGUACAGGCAUGGUGCAACUGUAGUUCCCUUGUAUGCUGCUGGGGCUAUGAACCAUCACCAAAAUAAUCACCGGAACCGUGGUUCUAAUGAAGGCUGCCCGAACCAUGCUGGUUCCAGUUAUUUGGUUCUUGCAGCUUUGGCUGCUUGUCUUCUCAAGUAUUUUGCAUAGCUUACCAUUGUAGGGAGUGUUGUAUAUAGUGUUUAUGAUGUCCAAAAUACUACAAUCACGACUAGAUUUUGAUGUGUGAUCUUGUUUGUUUUUUCCCCCUCCUGCUGUCGACUUUGAAUGAGAUAUACUACAUUUUUAAUUAGC
Molecule: unclassified non-coding RNA, 856 nt
Filed under: Hevea brasiliensis (rubber tree)
Lineage: Eukaryota; Viridiplantae; Streptophyta; Magnoliopsida; Malpighiales; Euphorbiaceae
Source: RNAcentral